Molecule: non-coding RNA, 1893 nt
Organism: Heterocephalus glaber (naked mole-rat)
Lineage: Eukaryota; Metazoa; Chordata; Mammalia; Rodentia; Bathyergidae
Source: RefSeq, a predicted model, not a curated record
GGGGGCGGCGGGGGGCGCGGGGCCCUGGAUGGAAGCGGGCCUAGUCCCGGCCACCAUGGCGCUGGGGCUGUCCUCCAAGAAGGCGUCCUCGCGCAACGUGGCGGUGGAGCGCAGGAACCUCAUCACCGUGUGCAGGUUCUCAGUGAAAACUCUGCUGGAGAAGUACACGGCUGAGCCCAUUGACGACUCCUCUGAGGAGUUUGUUAACUUUGCAGCCAUCCUGGAGCAGAUCCUGAGCCACCGUUUCAAAGCCUGUGCCCCAGCAGGGCCCGCCAGCUGGUUCAGCUCAGACGGGCAGCGAGGCUUCUGGGACUACAUCCGCCUGGCCUGCAGCAAGGUGCCCAACAACUGUGUGAGCAGCAUCGAGAGCAUGGAAAACAUCAGCACCGCGCGGGCCAAGGGCCGGGCGUGGAUCCGGGUGGCGCUGAUGGAGAAGCGCAUGUCCGAGUACAUCACCACGGCCGUGCGGGACUCGAGGACGACCAGGCGUUUCUAUGACUCGGGGGCCAUCAUGCUGCGGGAGGAGGCCACGGUGCUCAUAGGCAUGCUCAUCGGGCUGAGUGCCAUCGACUUCAGCUUCUGCCUGAAGGGCGAGGUCCUAGAUGGGAAGACGCCCGUGGUCAUCGACUACACACCCUACAUGAAGUUCACCCAGAGCUACGACUACCUGACGGACGAGGAGGAGCGGCACAGUGCCGAGAGCAGCACCAGCGAGGACAACUCUCCGGAGCACCCCUACCUGCCGCUCGUCACGGAUGAGGACAGCUGGUACAGCAAGUGGCACAAGAUGGAGCAGAAGUUCCGCAUUGUCUACGCGCAGAAGGCGAGUGGGAGAGGGGGCAUGGGAAAGGGGGCCCACGAAGUGGGGGAUCUGCGGGAAGUGGGGGUCCACUGGAAGUGGGGUCCAAGGGGAGCCAGCCCCAGCCAUGCCCCACAGGGCUACCUGGAGGAGCUGGUUCGGCUGCGUGAGUCGCAGCUGAAGGACCUGGAGGCUGAGAACCGGCGGCUGCAGCAGCAGCUGGAGGAGGCCGCAGCACAGAACCAGCGCGAGAAGCGCGAGCUGGAGGGCGUCAUCCUGGAGCUGCAGGAGCAGCUGACAGGUCUGAUCCCCGGUGACCAUGGCCUCCUGGCCCAGGCCUCCAGGGAGCUCACCACCCCCCUGGUCAACCAGUGGUCCUUGCUGGGGACACUCAGCGGCACCGAGGGCGCCAGCAACCCCAAGCUCUACCGGAGGCACAGCUUCCUGAGCACUGAGCCGCUGUCGGCGGAGGCCAGCCUGAGCUCCGACUCCCAGCGCCUGGAGGAGGGCAAGCGGGACGACCAGCCCUGGGGCCCCAUUGGAAGCUUGGAGCCACUCUAGCGGCUCCCUUCGCGUGGACGCCUGGACUCCAGCGCAUGCGUGUUGUUGCCCCGCCCCUCCCCGCCGACCCCCGUAGCCUGCUGCCCCGGCCCUAGGCCUCCCGGGACGGGCCGCCACACUGUGCUCGUGAAGGUGUCCCUCCCCCAGACUGGAAGGACCCCACGCCCUCCAUGCUGGGCCUCUGCGGCUCCCUGGCCUCCAUCCCCAGCUGCAAGUCCCUGGCGAGCUUCAAGUCCAACGAGUGCCUGGUGAGCGACAGCCCGGAGGGCAGCCCGGCCCUAAGCCCCAGCUGAGCAUGGGCGACGCCACCUGUGCAGCUCUGGCCCCCGUGCUUUUCCCCAGCCCAGCCAAGGGGCCCUGGGGAGACCUCGCCGCCUCAGCUUCCUGCUCCAAGAGGAACAGUGGGCAGGGACCACACCAGGGACCCAGGGAGCCGCUCCUCCUCCUGCAGGCCCCAAGGCCUGGCCAGAUCCCUCUGGCUGCUCCCCUGCUGCUGCCUCCCGUCUGACCCCGCACACCCCGGAACCAGCCUU